This 230-nucleotide long non-coding RNA is filed under the name Elaeis guineensis (African oil palm). Its description in RNAcentral is "long non-coding RNA (EGUI_LNC014641)". The record is from RNAcentral. Lineage: Eukaryota; Viridiplantae; Streptophyta; Magnoliopsida; Arecales; Arecaceae.
GCGGAGCCCAGCCCCAGACGCAGGUUCAUCUACAGAGAUGGGGACCUGGGGGUUUGAGGCAGAAGAGCUCCCGAAACUGCAGGGAGCAGAAGAGCCAGAAGAUAUUUCGAGUAGUUUUGAAGGGGGGCUCUAAAGGUCCCUAAGAAGGUGGACAGAAAGGGAGGACGAGAGGCCACAGGAAACUAACUCGGAGGGACGCAAAAAGAAACAAUGACAGAGAAGAGGUCCCU